CAGCAGCCGCGGGAAUACAGAGGGUGCGAGCGUUAAUCGGAUUUACUGGGCGUAAAGCGUGUGUAGGUUGUUGUUCAAGUCAGUUGUGAAAUCCCUGGGCUCAACCUGGGAACUGCUUCUGAGACUGAACGACUAGAGUACGGUAGAGGGUGGUGGAAUUUCCGGUGUAGCGGUGAAAUGCGUAGAUAUCGGAAGGAACAUCAAUGGCGAAGGCAGCCACCUGGGCCUGUACUGACACUGAGACACGAAAGCGUGGGGAUCAAACAGGAUUAGAUACCCCUGUAGUCCCUGUCUCUUAUAC
RNAcentral lists this ribosomal RNA (301 nucleotides) under uncultured bacterium. Its description in RNAcentral is "partial 16S ribosomal RNA". It matches the Rfam family "Bacterial small subunit ribosomal RNA", at positions 509 to 807 of the family's 1533-position model. The record is from RNAcentral.